AUCAGCUCACAUCGUCACAAGAAGAGAGGCGCAUACAGUGCAAUAAGACAGUUCGAGAGCAAAAUUGGCUUAACGGAGAAGGCCUGGUCCUGACCACCACAAGCUCCUUGGUUUUAUUGCUGUCUGUCACAGAUUGGUGACUUGAAUUCAAGAGAAAAACUCAGACCCUGAGGCAACAUUCUCCAUCCCAAUCUCAAUAAAGCUAGGUGCCUGGAAGUCAAUACUUCGCAGCCCUCUUGAAGUGUGGCUGCCAGAGACGCUCAGGGCUGAAAAAGAGACUCUGUGCUUGCAGGAGAGAGGAUUGAUUAGUCUUGUCUGCAGUGGAUGCAGGAGAUGAGAUGCUACUAGACUCAGGACACCCAGACUCCUGGUGUCUGUCUCUCGAUUUGUACAUCUUUAACAUCGAUAGGUGCCUUCUCCAGCCAAAAGAGGAGCUCCAGAAGUGGAAACUGAGUCCCAAGGAGAUUAAAUAACUUACCUGUGUCACACAGACACAAAUGGAGUGUCCAAGACGGAAACAUUGCCUCGCACUGGUUCUAACUACAGACAAGGAGUUGUCGGAUGAUACAUACCAUGCCAUCUAAAGGAAAUUCUGGCCUUUUCUUGGGCUAGAGCCUAAAUGUUUCUGGGUCAUGCUCGCAACUGUUCCUAUGCAUCAAUCAUCGGGGUUUCCAUUGUGCCACGACUCUUUUCCCCUGGCCUGAGGAAUCUCAGCCAUUCAUCAAUUUGACAAACAUUAUAAAUUCCUACUUUAUUCCAGGUACUGUGUUAAAUAAUAAGCAUACAGUGCUUAACAAAAUUGAUAUGUGUAU
Non-coding RNA from Microcebus murinus (gray mouse lemur), 812 nucleotides. The record is from RefSeq and is a predicted model, not a curated record. Lineage: Eukaryota; Metazoa; Chordata; Mammalia; Primates; Cheirogaleidae.